CACUGUGGCCGUUCGGUCACGUCAGUGCACGAGCGUCCGAGCAGGCAGUAGCGCGCUACCGUUACUGUGCACGCGUUUCCAUGGACGGUUGCUAAUGUGAUGACGGUGGAGACUCAUGCUGAAUGCUGUUCCUUUGAAGUCAACAACCAUCCUCCUUUGUACCUCGCCCAAAACAUCAUUUCUGAUGUUAGAGCCAGUGAACCUGAGGCCAUUUCAAUCCGGCAGUAGAAUAUAUUUGAACCAAACUCUUUCUUCAAAAGUGCAAUUGUGUACACUUUCUAGCGUGACUCACAUGAGUAUGAUCCAAAGAAGGAAGACUCCUUUUCUUUUGGUCAAUCCAAGGGUUAUGGACAGCGUGAGAAAGAACUGUGGAAAAUCCUGUCCUCUUCCCUACUCCCCAGUACACAAGGCCAGUGCCGGCCACCAUCGAGAACUUGUUCUGCUGCCGCUCCGGGACAUGACCUGUGCACUCCUCUGCCACUCCAGCUCCAGCCCGCUUGCUCCACCGCUGCUGUGGGACCCGGCUCAUGCUUGCUCUGCUGCCGCCACUGGACUCGGGGACAUUUUAUUACACUAAAGCAUCAUAUAAAUAUGACUUCCUGUUGCUGUUGAAGUAGUCCAAUAACCAGAAGUAUUCUGGGUAGUAGUGGCAGGACUCAUUUAUGUUAUCACAAUGCUCUGGAGACUUUGCCAAUAUCUCAAAUAAAUGUUCGUUGUCGACAAACAAAAACAAAAGAACUGAACUGUUGGAGAACAUACUUGGAGAAUUUUGAACUCAAUGUAAACAGCAGAGAAUCUAAAAAAGGAACCAGAAUAGGUUUAUUGCAAAUUCCAAUCCCCUUCACCACCAACUCUCCAAGCUACUCAGCAGUACUAUACAUGAUCACCUGCUUCUAAUCACCCUAUCAUUCCUUUUGUGUUCCCAGGGGCCUUUGUAGCAGAUAAACACACAGUUAGAGAAACUGGAACUAUUUUGCUGAAUAAUUUCAGAAGUAAGGGGAAGACCGCAUGUGAAAAUGAGAGAUUAGAAAAAUAUUCAACAAUUAAAAUUCCUUCAUUAUUGGAACUAUACAAAAAAGAAAAUAAAACAUAGGAAUUUGUUUAAAAUAGUCAUAAAACGAACAGAAACAUUUUCAGAGAAAGUAACAAAAAAAGGCUUUGGAAUUAGAAUACAGAAGCCACUUUUCAGUCAAGAAAUAGUCACAGAAGAAUCCAAAGAUCGCCUGUGCUCCCAUUCACUGACCAGAACAGCAUCUCCAAGGCAACAUCAGGAACCUGGAUGCUUAAUUGCAGAAGCUUUCUGGCUCUCUGUAAUCAGGGAACGCUUCUUGUGUAAG
This is a long non-coding RNA of Rhincodon typus (whale shark), 1337 nucleotides long. RefSeq lists it as uncharacterized. Lineage: Eukaryota; Metazoa; Chordata; Chondrichthyes; Orectolobiformes; Rhincodontidae. The record is from RefSeq and is a predicted model, not a curated record. The transcript is spliced from 3 exons.